UGAGAAUGUCAUAAGAUACAAGAUAUACAAAUAGGUUAAAAUAUACUACAAUGAUUCGUAAUUCGAUAUAUUUUCGAGUUCUUUCUUUUCGUUUUCGUUUCACUAAAGCUAGUCGGAAUCUGGUGUGGUGGAAUCGUUCCUGGAAUCUCAAGUUCCAGUCGUUGCUCAUCAAAAGGUAGACAACUCCUAAUUCUUUUAUUCAUUUAAUCUCCAUUAGAUGUUAAACUUGAGUUUUGUUCUGUGUGGGCUUCGAGAUGCUUAUAUGAGGUGUUUGAAGCUAAGUGUUGUCUUUAAUCUUCAUCUUAUUUUCUCUAAGAUUUGUGGUGGGAGUUUCGUUUCUAACACGAUCUAGUGCGUAUCUUGAAAUCGUUUCUCUGUUUGUAGUCUUGCUCACUGGUUAAUCACUAUGAUACUGUUAUGUUUUU
Molecule: long non-coding RNA, 425 nt
Filed under: Solanum tuberosum (potato)
Lineage: Eukaryota; Viridiplantae; Streptophyta; Magnoliopsida; Solanales; Solanaceae
Description: long non-coding RNA (STUB_LNC003553)
Source: RNAcentral